GUCUUGGUGCGUGCCGCCGUGCCGCCGUGCCGCCGUUGGGGGUGGGGGCCGGGGCGAGUCGUGUCCGGCCUGUGCGCGUGCCGGGAGCGACAGUGCCCGGCGUGGGAGAGCGGGCGUGCGGGCGGCCUCAGCCUGGAGUCGCCGUGACAGGGGUGCCAGACCUCCCCGCGUGCUCCUCGCAUUUUCUCUACGCCUGUCGCCCUGUUUGUUUUUUGUUCCCGUCCACCCUCGAGACCGUGCUUCACGAGGUCGAGGCGCGAUGAGUUAUUUUAAGUAGAUGAUUUCAUGACCUUUGAUGUUUGACUGACUUUGUCAUGUGCUAUGGGUUUUAUAUGGAUGCUGUUUCUUGGUGAAGGUUCACGGUGAACACACGUGUGUAACAGCUAAAGAAAAAAAGGGCUUGGGAUCAGUUGACGUUCUGAUGCCUUGAAUCAGUGAAGGUUACUUAGAAAAAGAAUUAUUUCGCUAGUGAAAAAGAGGACAUGGGCGAGUUUAAAGAGUUGACGGGUCGAGGCAGAUUCAAGAGCUGAGCUGUCCAGUAAGAUGGUCACUAACGACUGGAUAAGUUUCUCAGUUGUACUAGCCACAUUUCAGGAGCUCAGUGACCUCUUUAUUGGACAGUGCAGAUUAUAUAUAGCCCAUUCCCAGCAUCGCAGAAAGUUAUAUUGGACAGUGCUGAUUUAGAUAGUGGGGAAUUGUUUUAUACUGGUCAUCCAGGCCUUUGUAAGUGCUGCUAGGUCGUGGUUAAUCACGUUAGUCCUCUAGACACAGGUAAUUCUAAUGUAUUACUGGGUAUGGGUGUACUUGUUAGUAGUCAGCUUUACCAACAAGUAAUAUGCCUACACCAUGUAAGGCUUUUGUUUUGGGGACAGAGUGAAAGCAAUAGUUAACAAUUACCAAGUAAUUAGGAGCCGGGCCGCUUUAUAUGCAUCCUUUUAUGAUUCCUUACAAGUUUAUGACGCAGGUGGUAUUUUUUUCCAGUUGUGUGGCGUUUUUGCCCAUUAGGACUCAACUAAAAACCCAUGGCUUUGGCCAGGCACAGUGGCUGACGCCUGUAAUCCCAGCACUUUGGGAGGCCGAGGCGGGCGGAUCACCUGAGGUCAGGAGUUCAAGAUCAGCCUGGGCAACACGGUGAAACCCCGUCUCUACUAAAAAUACAAAAUUAGCUGGGCGUGGUGGCACAUGCCUGUAAUCCUCGGGAGGCUGAGGCAGGAUAAUCGCUUGAACCUGGGAGGCGGAGGAUGCGGUGAGCCGAGAUCGUGCCAUUGCACUCCAGCCUGGGCAACAAAUCUCCGUCUCACCAAAACAAACAAACGAAAACCGUGGCUUUUAUCCAUGAAGCUAUUAAUAUAUUGCCUUCUUUUGAAGUGGAAUAAAACAAUCUGCCUUCAGAUAACUUAAAAUCUGAUAUGGGAAAUAAGACGCGCUGUAAUAAAUAAUAUGAAAGAGAAUGGGAUAAGUACCAGAAGAUUGUGAACAAAACCUAAUUAAUAAAAUAAAGGGAGAAAAAAAAACUUUGUUUUUUUUUGGUUGUUGGAGUAGGAAGAGAUCAGUAGGUAAAUCUUUAAGGAUAGCUAAAAGUUGGAUUUGCAGUAAUGGAAGUGGGUGAGAGUACGACGCACACAAAGCAAAAAAAGAAUCAAUGAAAUAAGCAAAAGCAUGAGGUGUGGUCCUAUCUUAGUUUUCCGAAGGGGCAAAUAAAUAAACUAUGAGAGGAAUGAAUUAAUGGCAUUUGCAGCAACCUGGAUGAGAUUGGAGACUUAUAUUCUAAGUGAAGUAACUAAGGAAUAGAAACCCAAACAUCGUAUGUUCUCACUCAUAAGUGGGAGUUAAGCUAUGAGGAUGUAAAGGCAUAAGGAUGAUACAGUGGACUUUGGGGACUCAAGGGGAAAGGGUGGGAAGGGGGUGAGGGAUAAAAGACUACAAAUUGGGUGCAGUGUAUACUGCUCAGGUGAUGGGUUC
Molecule: long non-coding RNA, 1962 nt
Filed under: Homo sapiens (human)
Lineage: Eukaryota; Metazoa; Chordata; Mammalia; Primates; Hominidae
Description: non-protein coding lnc-ZDHHC22-2:4
Source: RNAcentral